RNAcentral lists this ribosomal RNA (1015 nucleotides) under uncultured bacterium. RNAcentral describes it as "bacterial SSU rRNA". It matches the Rfam family "Bacterial small subunit ribosomal RNA", at positions 353 to 1371 of the family's 1533-position model. The record is from RNAcentral.
AGUGAGGAAUAUUGGGCAAUGGAGGCAACUCUGACCCAGCCAUGUCGCGUGCAGGAAGACAGUUCUAUGAAUUGUAAACUGCUUUUAUACGGGAAGAAACCGGGGGACGUGUCCCCCUUUGCCUGUACCGUACGAAUAAGCAUCGGCUAACUCCGUGCCAGCAGCCGCGGUAAUACGGAGGAUGCGAGCGUUAUCCGGAUUCAUUGGGUUUAAAGGGUGCGUAGGCGGAAUAAUAAGUCAGGGGUGAAAGUUUGCGGCUCAACCGUAAAAUUGCCUUUGAUACUGUUAUUCUUGAGUACACGCGAGGUAUGCGGAAUGUGAUGUGUAGCGGUGAAAUGCUUAGAUAUAUCACAGAACACCGAUUGCUAAGGCAGCAUACUAGAGUGUCACUGACGCUGAUGCACGAAAGCGUGGGUAUCGAACAGGAUUAGAUACCCUGGUAGUCCACGCCGUAAACGAUGGUUACUAGCUGUUUGCGAUACAUAGCAAGUGGCAAAGCGAAAGCAUUAAGUAACCCACCUGGGGAGUACGUUGGCAACGAUGAAACUCAAAGGAAUUGACGGGGGCCCGCACAAGCGGUGGAACAUGUGGUUUAAUUCGAUGAUACGCGAGGAACCUUACCUGGACUUAAAUGUAGAUUGCAUAGAGUAGAGAUACUCUUUUCUUCGGACUAUUUACAAGGUGCUGCAUGGUUGUCGUCAGCUCGUGCCGUGAGGUGUCGGGUUAAGUCCCAUAACGAGCGCAACCCCUAUCGUUAGUUGCCAUCAGGUCAAGCUGGGGACUCUAACGAGACUGCCGGUGUAAACCGCGAGGAAGGUGGGGAUGACGUCAAAUCAGCACGGCCCUUACGUCCAGGGCUACACACGUGUUACAAUGGCCGGUACAAAGGGCAGCUACCCCGCGAGGGGAUGCGAAUCUCAAAAACCGGUCACAGUUCGGAUCGGAGUCUGCAACCCGACUCCGUGAAGCUGGAAUCGCUAGUAAUCGCGCAUCAGACAUGGCGCGGUGAAUACGU